AGGAGUUUAGGAUAAUUAAACCAAAAGCCUUCAAAGCUUUCAAUAGAAGUGAAACCCAUCUAACUCCUG
This 69-nucleotide transfer RNA is filed under the name Chthonerpeton indistinctum. Its description in RNAcentral is "tRNA-Trp". It matches the Rfam family "tRNA". Rfam says of the family: Transfer RNA (tRNA) molecules are approximately 80 nucleotides in length. Their secondary structure includes four short double-helical elements and three loops (D, anti-codon, and T loops). Lineage: Eukaryota; Metazoa; Chordata; Amphibia; Gymnophiona; Typhlonectidae. The record is from RNAcentral.